Molecule: ribosomal RNA, 253 nt
Filed under: uncultured bacterium
Lineage: Bacteria
Description: partial 16S ribosomal RNA
Rfam family: Bacterial small subunit ribosomal RNA
Source: RNAcentral
UACGUAGGGGGCAAGCGUUGUCCGGAUUUAUUGGGCGUAAAGAGCGUGUAGGCGGCCAGACAGGUCAGCUGUGAAAACUCGAGGCUCAACCUCGAGACGUCGGUUGAAACCGUCUGGCUAGAGUCCGGAAGAGGAGAGUGGAAUUCCCGGUGUAGCGGUGAAAUGCGCAGAUAUCGGGAAGAACACCCGUGGCGAAGGCGGCUCUCUGGGACGGUACUGACGCUGAGGCAUGAAAGCGUGGGGAGCAAACAGG